This 18-nucleotide microRNA is filed under the name Ciona intestinalis (vase tunicate). Its description in RNAcentral is "cin-miR-4194-5p". Lineage: Eukaryota; Metazoa; Chordata; Ascidiacea; Phlebobranchia; Cionidae. The record is from miRBase by way of RNAcentral.
UGACGUAAAACGUGUGUG